Molecule: long non-coding RNA, 479 nt
Filed under: Androctonus crassicauda
Lineage: Eukaryota; Metazoa; Arthropoda; Arachnida; Scorpiones; Buthidae
Source: RNAcentral
CUGAUCAGAACUUUGCCCCAGUUGUUUGUAUAGUCUCAGUGCUUUUUCAUGUAUCAUUUGAAUUACUAAAACUCUCAUGUAUUUGGUUCUUGAUCCAAAUAUUAAAUGUCUUUUCCAUCCUUUCUAUAAUGGGAUCACAAGGCACAUAGGAAACUUUAGCACUAGUAACAGUCCCACUGGGUGCACAAUAGACCUACAUUGGUCGCAGUGCUUGGGCUGUACAGGGUCCUCCCUUUCUACUAACAAUCCCACUAGCGACACUAGCUUUAAGUGCUUCUUUUAUUAAUAGUUCUUAUAGUUAACUUGUUAACAUUCAUUAGUCUGGCAACUGGUGCAGCAUGCUCAUCACGCUCUGUCACCAUGUUAAGUUUUUUCCUCCAGUAACAACAUGCUUCUAGCCCUUUUUGGCUGGUUUAUCAACUGUUUUUCUAAAUGUUCAGAGCAUGGGAUGACGGAAAAGAAUAAUUUAUAAAAACAAA